This 125-nucleotide microRNA precursor is filed under the name Myotis brandtii (Brandt's bat). RNAcentral describes it as "mir-9193 microRNA precursor family". It matches the Rfam family "mir-9193 microRNA precursor family". The record is from Rfam by way of RNAcentral. Lineage: Eukaryota; Metazoa; Chordata; Mammalia; Chiroptera; Vespertilionidae.
CAUGCCCCAGUGGGGUCCCUCAGCCUGGCCUGUGGGAUCGGGCCGAAAUCAGCUCUCUGACAUUCCCUGAGGGUCCUGUAUUAUGAGAGGGAGCAGGCCAGGCUGAGGGACCCCACUGGUGCACG